GUGUCUGUGGUAUCUGGCUCUCGAGAUUCGGAGAACGAUGCCUCUUCGAUUUUUGAGAAAGCAAUCAUGCUGGGGGUCUGACUCUCGAGAUUCGGAGAGCAGUGUCUCUUCGAUUUUUUAGGAAGUAAUCAUGUUAGGAGUCUGGCUCUCGAGAUUCGGAAGGCGGUGCCUCUUCGAUUUUGGAGCAAGCAAUCUUGUUGGGAGUGUUGUCUCGAAUGUGAGUAAAGGUUGGACAUGUUUGCUAGUCUACCUUGCCACGAAGCACAAAGGUUGACACACAGGGACUUUCCAAUUAUCCAGCAAUGGUACUGUUCCUUUACCCUCUCUUCGAUUUUGAGAAAGUAGUCAUGUUGGGAGUCUGGCUCUCGAGAUUCGGAGGACGGUGCCUCUUCGAUUUUGGAGCAAGCAAUCUUGUUGGGACUGUUUUCUCGAAUGUGAGUAAAGGUUGGGCAUGUUUGCUAGUCUACCUACCUUGCCACGAAGCACAGAGGUUGACACACAGGGACUUUCCAAUUAUCCAGCAGUGGUACUGUUCCUAUACCCUUGUGGGUAAUAAUAUGGUAGCUAGACCUUCAAAAUUUAUGUGUCUAAACUUUGUUAGUGCUGUUUCUUUGCUAUUCUUUUACCUUUCUUGGUCAGAGCGAUGUAGUGGGAGCUGCAAGCUUCACGUGCUCAACUUUGGCAGAGAACUUUGACAAAGUGAUCUGUGGUACCCAUGAGUUAUUGUUGCGUGUGGGAAGUGGGUGAUUGAACAAUAAGAUUCAUGUGCUUUCUACUUCACCAGAAGUCUUCGACAGAAUGCCCAUAAUUUCUGCAAAGCUGAGUGUGCGUGUGACAGGUGCUGACAAGGCUAGAAAAGUAGAUGCCUCUUCGAUUUCUGAGAUCGGCCCUCGUGGUCUCUGAGCAGCCCAGCUUUUGAGAAAGCGAGCGCCUCUUCGAUUGAUUCGAAGAACGGUG
Molecule: long non-coding RNA, 957 nt
Filed under: Malus domestica (apple)
Lineage: Eukaryota; Viridiplantae; Streptophyta; Magnoliopsida; Rosales; Rosaceae
Description: long non-coding RNA (MDOM_LNC019459)
Source: RNAcentral